Molecule: ribosomal RNA, 342 nt
Filed under: Triticum aestivum (bread wheat)
Lineage: Eukaryota; Viridiplantae; Streptophyta; Magnoliopsida; Poales; Poaceae
Description: partial small subunit ribosomal RNA
Source: RNAcentral
AUGAGUACACCACCGAGGAUGGCAAGAUACACUAUGUCGUGCACAACUAUGUCUUGCAUAACCCUUCCACAAACAGGUCUCUGCUGCUGCCUGAGCUCGACGCCGUCAUCAUCGACGACAGGUCUGCAAUCCGCAAGUUCCUCAUGCGCUCCACAGUUGAUGACUUUGUCGCGGUCAUCACCAACAACAGGAAGCAUCCGCUCAUUGUGUUCCAGCGAGGGAAGGGCACGUGGUCGCCGGAGCCACCGACAACUCCAUAUAUCUAUCUCAUUGACAUGGCCUUCCUUGGUGAUAAACUAUAUGCCAUCACCGAGACUGAGGACCUCAUCCCCCUUGAUCUAG